CCUACGGGAGGCAGCAGUGAGGAAUAUUGGUCAAUGGACGAGAGUCUGAACCAGCCAAGUAGCGUGAAGGAUGACUGCCCUAUGGGUUGUAAACUUCUUUUAUAAAGGAAUAAAACGAGGCACGUGUGCCUUUUUGCAUGUACUUUAUGAAUAAGGAUCGGCUAACUCCGUGCCAGCAGCCGCGGUAAUACGGAGGAUCCGAGCGUUAUCCGGAUUUAUUGGGUUUAAAGGGAGCGUAGAUGGGUUGUUAAGUCAGUUGUGAAAGUUUGCGGCUCAACCGUAAAAUUGCAAUUGAUACUGGCAGUCUUGAGUACAGGUGAGGUAGGCGGAAUUCGUGGUGUAGCGGUGAAAUGCUUAGAUAUCUGGAGGAACAUCAGUGGCGAAGGCGACUAUCUGGCACAUAACUGACGCUGAGGAGCGAAAGCGUGGGUAGCAAACAGGAUUAGAUACCCUUGUAGUC
RNAcentral lists this ribosomal RNA (460 nucleotides) under uncultured bacterium. RNAcentral describes it as "partial 16S ribosomal RNA". It matches the Rfam family "Bacterial small subunit ribosomal RNA", at positions 338 to 795 of the family's 1533-position model. The record is from RNAcentral.